AACUCCUACGGGAGGCAGCAGUAGGGAAUCUUCCACAAUGGACGCAAGUCUGAUGGAGCAACGCCGCGUGAGUGAAGAAGGUUUUCGGAUCGUAAAGCUCUGUUGUUGGUGAAGAAAGAUAGAGAGUAGUAACUGGUCUUUAUUUGACGGUAAUCAACCAGAAAGUCACGGCUAACUACGUGCCAGCAGCCGCGGUAAUAA
This 201-nucleotide ribosomal RNA is filed under the name uncultured bacterium. Its description in RNAcentral is "partial 16S ribosomal RNA". It matches the Rfam family "Bacterial small subunit ribosomal RNA", at positions 334 to 526 of the family's 1533-position model. The record is from RNAcentral.